AGAGUUUGAUCCUGUCUCAGAUUGAACGCUGGCGGCAGGCCUAACACAUGCAAGUCGAGCGGUAGAGAGAAGCUUGCUUUUCUUGAGAGCGGCGGACGGGUGAGUAAUGCCUAGGAAUCUGCCUGGUAGUGGGGGAUAACGUUCGGAAACGGACGCUAAUACCGCAUACGUCCUACGGGAGAAAGCAGGGGACCUUCGGGCCUUGCGCUAUCAGAUGAGCCUAGGUCGGAUUAGCUAGUUGGUGAGGUAAUGGCUCACCAAGGCGACGAUCCGUAACUGGUCUGAGAGGAUGAUCAGUCACACUGGAACUGAGACACGGUCCAGACUCCUACGGGAGGCAGCAGUGGGGAAUAUUGGACAAUGGGCGAAAGCCUGAUCCAGCCAUGCCGCGUGUGUGAAGAAGGUCUUCGGAUUGUAAAGCACUUUAAGUUGGGAGGAAGGGCAGUAAAUUAAUACUUUGCUGUUUUGACGUUACCGACAGAAUAAGCACCGGCUAACUCUGUGCCAGCAGCCGCGGUAAUACAGAGGGUGCAAGCGUUAAUCGGAAUUACUGGGCGUAAAGCGCGCGUAGGUGGUUUGUUAAGUUGGAUGUGAAAUCCCCGGGCUCAACCUGGGAACUGCAUUCAAAACUGACUGACUAGAGUAUGGUAGAGGGUGGUGGAAUUUCCUGUGUAGCGGUGAAAUGCGUAGAUAUAGGAAGGAACACCAGUGGCGAAGGCGACCACCUGGACUAAUACUGACACUGAGGCGCGAAAGCGUGGGGAGCAAACAGGAUUAGAUACCCUGGUAGUCCACGCCGUAAACGAUGUCAACUAGCCGUUGGAAGCCUUGAGCUUUUAGUGGCGCAGCUAACGCAUUAAGUUGACCGCCUGGGGAGUACGGCCGCAAGGUUAAAACUCAAAUGAAUUGACGGGGGCCCGCACAAGCGGUGGAGCAUGUGGUUUAAUUCGAAGCAACGCGAAGAACCUUACCAGGCCUUGACAUCCAAUGAACUUUCUAGAGAUAGAUUGGUGCCUUCGGGAACAUUGAGACAGGUGCUGCAUGGCUGUCGUCAGCUCGUGUCGUGAGAUGUUGGGUUAAGUCCCGUAACGAGCGCAACCCUUGUCCUUAGUUACCAGCACGUCAUGGUGGGCACUCUAAGGAGACUGCCGGUGACAAACCGGAGGAAGGUGGGGAUGAUGUCAAGUCAUCAUGGCCCUUACGGCCUGGGCUACACACGUGCUACAAUGGUCGGUACAGAGGGUUGCCAAGCCGCGAGGUGGAGCUAAUCCCACAAAACCGAUCGUAGUCCGGAUCGCAGUCUGCAACUCGACUGCGUGAAGUCGGAAUCGCUAGUAAUCGCGAAUCAGAAUGUCGCGGUGAAUACGUUCCCGGGCCUUGCACUCACCGCCCGUC
This 1395-nucleotide ribosomal RNA is filed under the name uncultured bacterium. RNAcentral's name for it is "bacterial SSU rRNA". It matches the Rfam family "Bacterial small subunit ribosomal RNA". The record is from RNAcentral.